CAUAUAUCCCAGACCCUAAUUUGGCAUUCGCAAUAUGAGUGUAAAGGAGAUGUAUCAAGAUGUAGAUACUUAAAUAUAGAAUAUAGUGUGUGUCAUUUAGGAGUAGGAGAACCUAAGUGCUUCAGUCCUGAGUAUCAACCCCGUACAAUUUGGUUGACUCUCAGAAAUGGAGAUCCUCAGGGGACCCUAAUUAAUAAGACGGUAUUAG
This is a non-coding RNA of Pelobates cultripes (western spadefoot toad), 208 nucleotides long. NCBI's taxonomy places the organism in Eukaryota, Metazoa, Chordata, Amphibia, Anura, Pelobatidae. The record is from the annotation of a GenBank genome assembly.